AUUGAACGCUGGCGGCAUGCCUAACACAUGCAAGUCGAACGAGUGGCGGACGGGUGAGUAAUAUAUGGGGAUCUGCCUGAUGGAGGGGGAUAACUACUGGAAACGGUAGCUAAUACCGCAUACCAUCAGAUGAACCCAUAUGGGAUUAGCUAGUUGGUUAGGUAACGGCUUACCUAGGCGACGAUCCCUAGCUGGUCUGAGAGGAUGAGCAGCCACACUGGGACUGAGACACGGCCCAGACUCCUACGGGAGGCAGCAGUGGGGAAUAUUGCACAAUGGGCGCAAGCCUGAUGCAGCCAUGCCGCGUGUAGGAAGAAGGCCUUCGGGUUGUAAAGUACUUUCAGUCGGGAGGCGUUACCGACAGAAGAAGCACCGGCUAACUCCGUGCCAGCAGCCGCGGUAAUAC
RNAcentral lists this ribosomal RNA (406 nucleotides) under uncultured bacterium. RNAcentral's name for it is "partial 16S ribosomal RNA". It matches the Rfam family "Bacterial small subunit ribosomal RNA", at positions 30 to 526 of the family's 1533-position model. The record is from RNAcentral.